RNAcentral lists this small RNA (29 nucleotides) under Bombyx mori (domestic silkworm). RNAcentral describes it as "ovarian small RNA-28823". Lineage: Eukaryota; Metazoa; Arthropoda; Insecta; Lepidoptera; Bombycidae. The record is from RNAcentral.
UCGCUCAAAUAUUCGGCGAUAGAUGGCGU